This 28-nucleotide non-coding RNA is filed under the name Mus musculus (house mouse). The record is from RNAcentral. Lineage: Eukaryota; Metazoa; Chordata; Mammalia; Rodentia; Muridae.
UGCACUGCACUAUGCUGACUUCGCUCGU